Molecule: long non-coding RNA, 291 nt
Organism: Magallana angulata
Lineage: Eukaryota; Metazoa; Mollusca; Bivalvia; Ostreida; Ostreidae
Exons: 3
Source: RefSeq, a predicted model, not a curated record
GCUUUCAAAUGGAGAAUUUUACAAGAAGGUUUGAAAAACAAACCAGUGGAAGUGUCCGAGCUCAGAAGAUGUGUUGUUGAUAUUAUCAGAAGCCAUGUGUAUAGUAGGUAUAAGAUAAGGAGGGGCUUUUGGGGGAUUGCAAGCCUGGCCCCAAAAUGGUUUCCAGAAGGGGUACCUUUCUUGUCCCCUCACGACAACAACAAGGAAAAUCGCAUUCGAAGGGACGACUGCAUUGAGAUCAUCAAUGCCUACUAUGCAUACUUGAAGUAUUAUAAAAAAGUUAUUUUUUUC